RNAcentral lists this long non-coding RNA (2148 nucleotides) under Rhinopithecus bieti (black snub-nosed monkey). Its description in RNAcentral is "lncRNA (ENSRBIG00000046733.1)". Lineage: Eukaryota; Metazoa; Chordata; Mammalia; Primates; Cercopithecidae. The record is from RNAcentral.
UCCUGGGGCUCUGCCAGCCCCAGUUUGGAAGGUCUUAGACUGAGACUGAAGUUUCUUGCACCCCAACCCCAGCUGAACACAGAGCUCAAGGAGAACCUGAAGGACACCAUGGCCAAGCGCUACCACCAGCCGGGCCACGAGGCCGUGACCAGCGCUGUGGACCAGCUGCAGCAGGAGGUGGGUGGGUGGUGCUGGGAGGGCGCAUGCAUCCCCAGGGCCUCCCUGGACCUCUGCAGGAGCCUCUGGUCCCAGGUCUCACCCCAGCCUUGUUCUUGAUGCAGUUCCACUGCUGUGGCAGCAACAACUCACAGGACUGGCGGGACAGUGAGUGGAUCCGCUCAGGGGAGGCCGGUGGCCGCGUGGUCCCCGACAGCUGCUGCAAGACGGUGGUGGCCAGUUGUGGGCAGCGGGACCAUGCCUCCAACAUCUACAAGGUGGAGGGCGGCUGCAUCACCAAGUUGGAGACCUUCAUCCAGGAGCACCUCAGGGUCAUUGGGGCUGUGGGGACCGGCAUUGCCUGUGUGCAGGUCUUUGGCAUGAUCUUCACAUGCUGCCUGUACAGGAGCCUCAAGCUGGAGCACUACUGACCCUGCCCUGGGCUUGGCCGUGGCUCUGUGCCUUGCUGCUGCUGCACCCAACUACUGAGCUGAGACUACUAAGUGCCAGGGGCUGGGCUCCCUGAUGACACCCACCCUGUGCCAUCACCAUAACCUCUGGGGACCCCAAUCCCAGAGGCAGCUUCAAGUGCCUUUCGCUGCACACCAAAGCCCAGCAGGGAAGUGAGGGGGGCUGGUGGGAUGACGGUAUCAGGGGUGUUUUGUGGGGCUCCCUGAACACACUGCCUGGUGGUCACAUGCAGGCUGGAAGGGGCCUUGCUGAGUGGGGCAAGGCCGAGUGUUCCCAGCAGGGGAGAAGCCCUUCACACCCCAGGCCCUUCAGGGACUGGGGCUUUGCCUUGCAGCCACAUGGCCCCAUCGCAGUCGGAGAAGCCGAGUAAGCUCUGACCCUUGGGCCUGGGCCUCUGCCCCUCCCCACCCAGGCCUCGUCUCCGUCAGAGCCCCUGCUGUCUUCCCCACCGCGGUCACUGUGCACUGCCCCGUCCAUGUGCCUGUGCGGGGCAGGGGCCUCCUGGUUUUGUUCACUGCUGUACCCAGAUGCCUACAACCAUCCCUGCCACAUACAGGUGCUCAAUAAACACUUGUGGGGCAGAUGGGCGAGCUCGCUGUGCUGGUGACAGACAGAUGGUGGUCUGUUCUCAGGGCCCCUCACGUCCAGCAGGGUAGACGGACCCCCCCUCUCAGCGUCAGGACAAAGAAGGGCAGAGCCAAGACACAGCCCCAUGGGGCUCCAGGGAAGGGGAGGUCUGAUGCCAGGGACAGCCAAGCACAGGUCUCACAGCAGAAAAAACUGAGCAUGUUCCUAAAUGGUGAGAUGGUGGUGUGUUCAGAGCCCCUGGGGAGAGGAAAAUGGGUUUCCAAAGACCCUUCUCGUCAUGGUGGGGAGCAGACAUGAAAACGGUGCAGACUGGGGACUGUGCCCAGGUAAGAGAGGCGUCAGGCAGAUGGGUGGGGAAGUAGAGUGAGGGGUUUACAUGGUGAAGCCUACAGGCCCUGCUGGGGCAAGGGUGGGAGGUACCAGAGCCUGGUGUCUGGCAGAGGUACCCUGGAGACGGGAGCCAGGGCUCAGUCACUAUACCCCUUGCUGCCCAGGCUCCUGUCCCUAAGGCUCAGAACUGAAGACCCUCAGGCAGACCCAUCCUCCCCACCAGAGGACACCACGCCAGGUAUCUCAGCAGCAGGGCCAUCUGACCUGGGGUGCUUGCUGGUAGCACUGCCUGGACAGCAGGGCCGCCUCCCAAGCCAGCCAGGGGCGUCUUAAGGCCUGCCCUCCCUGCUAGGCUCGGGUGGGACCCUCAGGGACAGGCAGCAGUGGGCAGGGGCCAGCAGGUGCUGGCAGCCGUGACCAUAGCAAAGACUGGGCCCCAGAAGAUCUGGUUCUUUUCUUUUUUUUUGGAGAUGGAUCACUGUCACCCAGGCUGGAGUGCAGUGGUGCAAUCUCAGCUCACUGCAAGCUCCCCCCUCCCAGGUUCAUGCCAGUCUCCUGCCUCAGCCUCCCGAGUAGCUGGGACUACAGGCGCCCGGCACCUCG